This 477-nucleotide ribosomal RNA is filed under the name uncultured bacterium. RNAcentral's name for it is "bacterial SSU rRNA". It matches the Rfam family "Bacterial small subunit ribosomal RNA", at positions 365 to 832 of the family's 1533-position model. RNAcentral also lists the same sequence under 1 other name. The record is from RNAcentral.
UUCGCAAUGCCCGAAAGGGUGACGAAGCGACGCCGCGUGUGGGAAGAAGGCCUUCGGGUUGUAAACCACUGUUGGGAGUUAGGAAGUGUGGAGGUGUUAAUAGCGCUUUCACUUGACUAAAGCUCCAGAGGAAGCCACGGCUAACUCUGUGCCAGCAGCCGCGGUAAUACAGAGGCGGCAAGCGUUGUUCGGAAUUAUUGGGCGUAAAGAGCACGUAGGCGGCUCUGCAAGUCAGCUGUGAAAGCCUUCUGCUUAACGGAAGAACGGCAGUUGAAACUACAGGGCUUGAGUGCGGGAGGGGAGAGUGGAACUUCUGGUGGAGCGGUGAAAUGCGUAGAUAUCAGAAGGAACGCCGGCGGCGAAAGCGGCUCUCUGGUCCGUAACUGACGCUGAGUGUGCGAAAGCUAGGGGAGCAAACGGGAUUAGAUACCCCGGUAGUCCUAGCCGUAAACGAUGGGCACUAAGUAGAGGGGUUUU